RNAcentral lists this long non-coding RNA (1677 nucleotides) under Castor canadensis (American beaver). RNAcentral's name for it is "lncRNA (ENSCCNG00000024934.1)". The record is from RNAcentral. Lineage: Eukaryota; Metazoa; Chordata; Mammalia; Rodentia; Castoridae.
AAAUUUAAGUCAACUCAGCAUGAGUUGAAAUUGACUACAUUAGGUUUUUUUUCCAUCUAGAAACAACAGGAUGUUUAUUUCCCAUGCUGGCUCUGGAGGACUUACUGUCCUCCAGAAAAGGAAUAUUCUCCCUACAUCUUCUCUCUUGACUUUGGCAACAUCUCAUAAGCAGUCUGCUAACUGGAAGGGCAAAGCGCAGCUAUCUACAACACAUCCUUCCAGCACCCUUAGAUGUUAUAUAUAGGAAACUCCAGGAUCUCUUGACACCUACUCCACCCCUGUUCUUUCCCAUUAAGGUUUUUGGCAGCAAAGAAUUCUUUUUACUUUUUUUGUUUGAUUGUUUUUGUCUUGGUUCUUUUGAGACAGUCUCACUAUGUGGGUUGGACUGGCCUCAAACUCUGUCCUUCUGCCUCAGCCUCCCAAAUGCUGGGAUUAUAGGCACGCACCACCAUACCCAGCUAACUAUUUUUAUGUAUGUAAUUAACUCAACAUUGGGGAUAACAACUAAGAAAAAUAAUUGAUAGAUUUAUUCCAAAGCUAUUUUCUGAUUAUUGAUAUCUGUAAAAGCAAAAACUAUGAAGAAUGAAUGUUCAUACCUUUUAUUAAAAAGACAAAAAGCAGAAUAAUUAUUAGAAGUGACAGAAUUAUUAACACAGGUGAGUUGUCCAUAAAAAGAUGAAAAAGUGAGAUAGCAUCUCAUAUUUACAAGGCAUGACUGUUAUUCACAGGGACACUAGUUCAAAAGUGUGCUGAACCGUACCUCCGCAUCCAUAUUCUGUACAAAGGUAAUAUUAUCUGAAACUACAGAAAUGCUAGAAAUGAAAAUGGUUCAGGGUCAAUUCUUUAAUAAUCUGUUUCCAAAAAAUUAAAGUUUUCAUUUGAGCAAGAACGUACUUUUCACCUUUACAUAUGAAUUCAGAAGGAGGAAGUCUUUUUGUUUGAAAUACCAGGGAUUGAACCCAGGGCCUCCCACAUGCUAAGCUGUAAGUACUCUUCUACUCAGCUACAUUCCUAGUUUCAGAGUGAUGAAUGUUGUUUAUUAUGUUCAAAGAAGUAAUAUCCACUUUCUAAAAUCAUUUUUAAAUCUUUCUACUGAGUAAGUAUUCAAAAAACUGGUUUUUAAAAUAUUUCUGAAAUUUUUAAUAUAAAGAAACUAGUUAGUAUGAGGCUAUAGAGACAGUGGUAAAUAUUUACUACCACAACCCUUCCCAAAGUAACAUUCAGGGAACAGCAAAAUUGGAAUUUUACUUUUCUUGAAUGGAUUUUGCCUGUUAGCAUUUGAAAGCUAAUAGUAUUUUGUAGCCAAUUUUCUUUAGCUUCACCAAGUGGGUUUAUCUAUGUUUGCAUAGUUUUUAUUACAAAAACGUUUUUAAAUUUAACAAGUGCUUUAUAUGCUACUUAGAACUCUACCAGUUUAUUUAGAAGUCAGAUGAAAACAAGUACAGAUUUUUUUUGCUAGGCUUCAGUAAGAAUUUUAAAUACAUAAUGUAAGUUAUCAUACCUCAUUCUGCCCAAACAGAAUUGCUUGGUGUAACCAGUUUUCCAAAGACUGUCCAUCUUUUUCAUCUUCACUCCCUUUGAUAAUUGACUAAUAGAAGAUCAAAUGCAAAAUUAACUGUCAGAACUUGUCCCUAGGCAAGCAAUAAAAAUAUACGUUAAAAGAAUUUUAAGUGAGCC